Molecule: long non-coding RNA, 353 nt
Organism: Nilaparvata lugens (brown planthopper)
Lineage: Eukaryota; Metazoa; Arthropoda; Insecta; Hemiptera; Delphacidae
Exons: 2
Source: RefSeq, a predicted model, not a curated record
AAAAUUACUUGAGAACAACAAUGCGACAAGAUAGACUCAACGGCCUGGCUCUGAUGAACAUUCAUAAGAAUACAAUAAAUGUGGAUCCUUUGGAGGUAAUUGAAAAGUUUGCUCAAAAGCACACAAGGCGUUUACAGUUCCUGUACAGCGACUAGCGAUGAAUGACAGUAUUAAUUCUCAGACCAUCACUUCAAGUCUCCAAACAAAAGUUCCAACUGUGUCCCCAUCAUUAUUUAUUCAUCUCCAGGCAGUAGAACUAUUUCGAAAUAUUAAAUGUACGAUGUACUUAAAAAUAAAUCCUUUUCAUAUUUUUAAUCUGUCUUUUAUUAACUUUAAUGUAUUUCAUUAUUAAA